Molecule: ribosomal RNA, 460 nt
Filed under: uncultured bacterium
Lineage: Bacteria
Description: partial 16S ribosomal RNA
Rfam family: Bacterial small subunit ribosomal RNA
Source: RNAcentral
CCUACGGGAGGCAGCAGUGAGGAAUAUUGGUCAAUGGGCGCGAGCCUGAACCAGCCAAGCAGCGUGAGGGAUGACGGCCCUGCGGGUUGUAAACUUCUUUUGUCAGGGAAUAAAGUGAGGCACGUGUCCCUGGUUGAAUGUAUUUUAUGAAUAAGGAUCGGCUAACUCCGUGCCAGCAGCCGCGGUAAUACGGAGGAUCCGAGCGUUAUCCGGAUUUAUUGGGUUUAAAGGGAGCGUAGAUGGGUUGUUAAGUCAGUUGUGAAAGUUUGCGGCUCAACCGUAAGAUUGCAAUUGAUACUGGCAGCCUUGAGUACAGUUGAGGUAGGCGGAAUUCGUGGUGUAGCGGUGAAAUGCUUAGAUAUCACGAAGAACUCCGAUUGCGAAGGCAGCCUACUAAACUGCCACUGACAUUGAUGCUCGAAAGUGUGGGUAUCGAACAGGAUUAGAUACCCGUGUAGUC